CUGGAGUAUAAGUUCUAAGGCUCAAGCUUUGAGGUAUACACAAGCAGGCCACUGUGCAGAUUGGGAGAUGGAGAAUGAAUUUGAGUAGACUGAGAGAAGGGACUGAUUCCUCCUACUUGACCCAGAAAGAUUGUUUUUAGAAGAUUUGGGUGGGGAUAGUGGGGAGAGGUCAAUAAGGGAUGUUAUGGAAAGCUCUAUGAAAUUAUAACUUCUUACUUCUUUAAGCUCAGUUAGUGAGAAUUUGUUAAUAUCUUAGUUUUCUCUGGGAACUGGUUACCCGCUCCAACUCUUUACAUUUCUUUGGAAAAUAAGCAGAGGCCCAUCUAGAUUACAUUUCGCAGUGAAAAGAUCUGAUUCCAGCUUAGGGACCCUGUACUUGGCACUCAUAUGGAGCAGCUAAGGAGAGAAGUCUUCUGGAGGUUGGAGAAUAAGAGGUUAUGCCAACUACAGUUUGGGAGUGAUCUUUGGCUGUGAAGCUUGGCACUGAACUGAGGGAAGACUCCAAGAAGCCGCCCACAUCAACCACCCCUUCAUCUUUCCUGAGGUAGUCAGUUGGGGGUGAUGGAGAAGAUAGCUCUGGACAGAAGAAGCAAGAAACUUUCAGAGUCUACCUGGACAAUAUGGAAUAGCACCAUAUGGACAUCUCUGCCAGGGACUGACUUCUAGGACCUGCAAUCUGUAACCCUAGAGUGGUGGUCGCUUGGUUUUGGCUCCUCCUAAGUGUUUGUGUGUGUACGUAUGUAUGUAUACACAAAUAUCCAAUUUCCCUAUGCCAAUGGGAUGAUUCAAUGCAGUGAACAGAUCCUUCUGAUCAUCUAUUCUUUCCCCCUUCUCCUCCUCUACUUUUCUCAGGCCCCUCCUUUUUCUCCUUCUCAUUUCCCCACCUUCCAAGCUACAUCCAUCUCCCUGGUCAAACUGUCCUUAUUACAAGUGUCACUUGGGUCUCCCACCUCAAUUAUGUUGGUAAUGCCUUGCUUGUUCUGACAGCAAUGAGAUUACUUGCCAUUUGUUGCAGCCCACACGACACAAUAAGCACCUGGAUUCUUAACCGAAGAGGGGAAACUGCUUACACUAAAUAUGAAAAAAGAGAGAGAGAUAGGAAAGACAAGAAAAAAACACAAAGCCAAAGACAGGUUUUGGAACAAGCCUUAAAGCCUCUUCAACUUGGGACUUUCAGCUUCAGCUUUUAUUUGCGAUUCAAUGAAGUAUCUCACUAACACAGGUGACGUCAAAGUUGCAUGUUCUGUUUUAACAAAGAUAAGUCAAAACUUUUGAUGCAGGACCCUCACUCCUAAAUUUUAUGAUUAUAGGAAUUCAUCAGUUCUGAUCUCCUCACCAUCUGAUCUUAUUUGUGGCCUUUCAAUGCCAUCAUCAGCCUCUUGCCUUUGCCUGUGCUCCUUAACAUUCCAGAGGUUAAUGGAAGGCCAUUUAAUUUUCCAGAUGUACCUUUGGUGUUUAGCCCUCCAAAUCCUUGGCAACCUACCUCUCUUGCCUUCCAAAAUGGGGCAAGAUUUUAGAAUUGAUAUGAAAAGCUCUUUUUCUUCCCCAUUUCCUUACACUUUCCCCUGAAACUCCAGUCUCAUUCAGUAUUAUUAGGGAUCUGGUUUCAGAGACAUUCCAAUCCUGGAGGCUCCUCCUAGACUAGAAUCAGCCACCUUUUAUUGCCAGGACCCAGGUCUUCUUGGCCUGAACUAUACCAAAGAGAAGCUCACUAGCCAUUUCCCCUGGUACCUUAAGGCUGGCUCUUAACUCAGACUUUCCAGGGCUGUUUGCUGAACAUGACCUACUAAGUCUCCAGCUUUACUGACUUAGGAAGGCAGCUAAGCAGCAGCCCCUGCUGGGACAAACUCGUAUGUUUGGGGAGACCUUCUUAUUUGGGGUUGGUCAUUCCGGUUGUCACACUGUGUGGGGUUUUUAAUAAUCUGCUUUUCUAAAUAAAGUUGUGUUCAUAUUUCA
Gracilinanus agilis (Agile Gracile Mouse Opossum) is the source of this 1956-nucleotide long non-coding RNA. RefSeq lists it as uncharacterized. The record is from RefSeq and is a predicted model, not a curated record. Lineage: Eukaryota; Metazoa; Chordata; Mammalia; Didelphimorphia; Didelphidae. The transcript has 2 exons.